UGGGGAAUUUUGCACAAUGGGGGAAACCCUGAUGCAGCGACGCCGCGUGAUUUAGAAGGCCUUCGGGUUGUAAAAAUCUUUUCUAUGGGAAGAAAAUGACAGUACCAUAGGAAUAAGGACCGGCUAAUUACGUGCCAGCAGCCGCGGUAAUACGUAAGGUCCGAGCGUUGUCCGGAAUCAUUGGGCGUAAAGGGUACGUAGGCGGGUAAGCAAGUUAGAAGUGAAAUCCUGUAGCUCAACUACAGUAAGCUUUUAAAACUGCUCAUCUUGAGAUAUGGAAGGGAAAGUGGAAUUCCUAGUGUAGCGGUGAAAUGCGCAGAUAUUAGGAGGAAUACCGGUGGCGAAGGCGGCUCUCUGGUCUGUAACUGACGCUGAGGCUCGAAAGCGUGGGGAGCGAACAGG
RNAcentral lists this ribosomal RNA (402 nucleotides) under Bacteroidota bacterium. RNAcentral describes it as "Bacteroidetes bacterium partial 16S ribosomal RNA". It matches the Rfam family "Bacterial small subunit ribosomal RNA", at positions 355 to 776 of the family's 1533-position model. Lineage: Bacteria; Pseudomonadati; Bacteroidota. The record is from RNAcentral.